RNAcentral lists this long non-coding RNA (3284 nucleotides) under Nicotiana tabacum (common tobacco). RNAcentral describes it as "long non-coding RNA (NTAB_LNC016269)". The record is from RNAcentral. Lineage: Eukaryota; Viridiplantae; Streptophyta; Magnoliopsida; Solanales; Solanaceae.
UUCGGACCUAACCCAUAAUUCCUAGACACAUACCCCUAACCUUAAUAUAACCCUAAAACUCUAAACCUAUAAAAAAAAAGAAGCUAUCCUAGGAGCCUAGAGGGGGGACCUUAAUAGAUCCUUAUACAACCAAAGACACCCCCGAUCGAUCUUCUUCUUGAGGGAACUAACAAAAAAUCCCUAAGCAACAAAAAAUGGCAGCUGCUUCAUCUGCUACACAGCAGUUAACAGAGCACACUCACACACAUCUCCAAGGCUUCAACACCUUUCUUCUUCAUACACCAAAAGCACAAAACCAGACCCUUCAACCAAACCAGCCGCGUCCAGCAGUUGCUGCUUCGCCGGAAUGCCAAUCAGCCUCCCAGCCGCACCCCUGAACUGAUUGAUUUCAUUUUCGAAGUCGAGUACUCCGGUUUAAAUAGAAAGGAUUGAGCUGAGGCUGGUCCGAGAUUGCAUUCGUGGUUCUUGCUAAAAUAUCGCUGUUGUUUUCGUAUUUUGCUGAAAGAGAUUAAUUACUGAAGCAAGCUAUUAUCAUAAUUCUUAUAUAUCGUAGAAGCUUUAUUUAUCGAGGUCCAUUUCUAUCUCUCUUCUCUAGUCUCAUUUGUUAUGAAAUAAAAUUGAUGAAGAGCCAUUUAAGAUCUCGGGGAAUUAGAUAGUUGAUGAUGUCUAAAUAUCAAAUUUAAGCAACCAAGGUGCUUAUUUAUAGCUUACUCUUUCUGAUUUGUGGUCUCUGUUUGUGGUUUUUAUUGUCACGUGAAGGAUUUGGUAUUCAAUUUCCUCUUCUAUUUAUUUUGUUUGUUUCGAUCGUUAUGUUUGAUAAUUCGUAUAACUUUCAAAAUGUCCUGGUUUAGCUAACUUUCAAUGGUAUUGAAUCAUAUCAGUUUCCUCCUAAGGUCGGAUACUAAUUUGUUUGAACUAUAUGCAAGCUAUUUAAGCAAUGUUUGCUUUCCCCUGCUCUAUACCUUGGUGAUAUGGGAGUCGGAAGUAUACAGACUACAUAAGUGAUCUAUUCCUUGGAUUAAUUGAUCAUUAUGAAUUUGGAAUUUUCAAUCUAUUCUAUUCUAUGGGUUUGAAAUUAUCUUUUGCUAAUUUUUUUGUGAUUUUAAGGUCUGUGUAGGUUUUGUUAAUGAAAGUGUUUUUUAGAAGAUCCUCUUUACUACUUUAGGUUUGGUAUAUGAUAGAUUGUGACUUACAUGAAAUCUGAAACUCAACCUUGGUAGGAAACGGUUUUGGCAACUGUCUUUCACUAGACAAAGAAAAGUCCAUGUCUAAUCACUAAAUAAUUUUUAGAUUUGUUGCCUUAGCAUUCAUGUAUUAAUGGUGUGACUGAAUCAUCCGUAAUGGUAGCUAUGGGACAUUUUAAUUCACAAGUUUGUAAAAUGUACAUAGGUUCUUAUUAGUUCAUUCUCUUGGAUUUCACAUCACAACUUAUUAAUUGUGUACACGUUCGCAUGACACGAGUACGAUUUAAAAAUGAAUAUUCAUAGAAAGGGCUUUAGGCGCGACUUAAUUUACCAUCGUGACUGUGUACAUGUUCGCGUGACAUGAUUAUGAUUUCUAAAAUAAAUCGGAGUAUGCGUUCGCGCAACUUCGACUAAACUUUCUAAAUAAUAACAAAGCGUUAUUGAUUGUAGACACAUUCGCGCGACAUGAUUUUUGACGCGCUAAACAAAUGGGUACACGUGCGCGUGACCUGUUUUAAGAUAAUUUCUUAAUUAAAAAAGGUAAAUGCAUAUAUGUUCUAAAAUGAGUAAUUAGACAAUUUUAAUGAGCCAAGUAUGAUCAAAGCGAUCGUGCUAAAACCGCGGAACCUGGGAAUGCCUAACACCUUCUCCCGGGUUAACAGAAUUCCUUAACCGGAUUUCUGUGUUCGCAGACCAUAAAUAAGAGUCAUCUUCCUCGAUUCGGAAUUUUAAACCGGUGACUUGGGACACCAUAAAUUAUCCCAAGUGGCGACUAUGAAUUUAAUAUAAAUAAUCCCGUUUCGAUUGUCACUUAAAUUGGAAAAACUCCCUUAUAUACCCCUCCUGUGGGUGUAGGAAAAAGGAGGUGUGACAACUCUGGCGAUUUCGCUGGGGACAAGAACUCCGAACUUCUGGUUCAGGGUUCAAGAAUUCGAGCUUGUUAAUAUGAUCUAUGCGUGGCUUUAUUGUUGUUGACAUUGUUGUAUUUGUGGACCUAAUGUGCUAACUGCUGCUUAUUUACCGUUUUGAUAUUAUUUGAAUUGUAUAUAAUUGUCUUUUUACGCUACCCCUUUGAGUCUUCUGAAAAUGGGGCACACGUUCGCGUGGCCCAUGUUUCUAUUAGAAGUUAUACCAAAUAGAAUGAGGUUGGACCAGCAACAAGGCCGGGUAGACUUUCGCGCUGCCGGUACGUUGCCCCCUCUUCGGCUCGAGUAGUCCGCUCGGGUAAACCAGGUCAAGAACACAACCCUAGGUUUAAACAUAGAAUAACAUAACCUUAUGUCGGAUCCCUAGUAGGAGCGUUUGUUUGCAUCACGUGCAUGACUUUGGGGACUCAACACAUGAGUUGGGUCCGUCUAGGACGGGUGUACCCAAAAUAAAAGUGAUGCAUCCUAUGUGCGACAUGUUGCAAUCUUUAAGGAUAAAAAGGGUCAUUUGGCGGACCAAAUUAUGGCUAAGGGUUAAUGAGAAAGAAAAGAGGGUGAAGUGUGAAAAUAAAGCAAGUAGGACCCAAUUAUGUUUUUCUUUCACAUUUUUUUUAAGAAAAAAACCAAAAAAAGUAUAUGAAAAAUCCCAAAAAAAAGAUUUUGCACUUUCCCGUCAUUUUCCGAAAAAAAAAGGAAAAUAAAAAUCAAAAAAGAGUUUACAUGUUUAAUCAUUUUUCAAAAAAAAAAGACAAAAAUAUAUUUUUUCGCUAAAUUAGUUGUUUUUUUUUAUUCUCACCUGUAUCCAAUCUUCCAGAACUACGCAUACGUGAUUCUUGUCUUUCGGGGCGUGAUACGUAGGCAACCCACAUAAGAUCCGGUCUUUCUAGUAAGUCUUAGGUUCUUGGCUUUGCGGGGUCUUAGCCAAAUUUUGCAUUUUUAGCCACUUUUAGCCACAUAGGUUAAUUUUAGAAAAAUAGUCACAAUCAUGUCUUGCAUGUGUCCAACAGGAAGUGUUAUUGUCUCACAUAGUGUACUAGGUCUUUAACUUUAUUUGGCCUUAAUUUUCUCUUACAGAUAUGGGUCUACUUACUGGAGUUUGAGCAUGACAGAUACCCCAGGACCACUGCAUUCAGGAGCUGUCUGAGGAGCCUUUUUAUAUUUUUGAGUCUAUUGU